Triplophysa rosa is the source of this 3383-nucleotide long non-coding RNA. RefSeq lists it as uncharacterized. Lineage: Eukaryota; Metazoa; Chordata; Actinopteri; Cypriniformes; Nemacheilidae. The transcript is spliced from 3 exons. The record is from RefSeq and is a predicted model, not a curated record.
CGGUGAGAACGCGCUGUCGCAACAAUACCUAGAAGGAGAGCGAACGUGCGCUGCAGCAGAAAUCUAUUUUAAAUCAUAUGCAUUCAUAUGGAAGAUGGCGGUGGAGCUUUGCAUUAAAUGACAGCCCCAUAAGAAGAGUUUAGAAGAUCUGUGAAGUGGAAGAAGGGCUGGCGACACCAGGGUGCCGACUGACGGUGAUGAAGCCAGUGGAGCAGGAGCCCAGGGCGGAGACGAGUAGACGGAGAGCCAAGGUGAUACAGAGGAUCCGGAAGGCCAAGGUGGAACUGGCGGCUCAGUCGACCGUGGCGUGGAUCCGGAAGACCGCGGAGGAGCCAGAACGACUGAGAACGAAGGUGGAGCCAAAGGGAAGGAGCCUGACAGAGCCAUAGGGGCGGAGUGACGAGGCUGAUGGUCGACGACUGACCAAGGUGGAGUUGGAGGGACGAGAGGAGCCUGGUGGAGCUGGUGGGAUGAUGGGCCACAGUGGAGAUGAGGGAGCCAAGGUGAAGCUGAAGGGUCGAAGGGCAGAGGUGGAGUCCAGGUCUUGGAGGCUGGAGGAGUAGACAUGGGAUACUCAACACCCGAGGUAGCUGGCAGCUGGAGAUCCCGAAGCUCAUUCAAACCAACGGCACAGGCAUGCCUAGGGUGAGCUGAGGUGUCUCCAGAUGCCAGCAGACCCAGGGCUGAUGGACUGGCUGGCAACGAUAGAGGAGGCAGGAGUGACAAUCUGGGAGGGACCUUCUCUGAGGCUGGAAAUGAGGUGCUGGCUGACAAAGGGGGGCUGGGCGGGACCAGCGGGGACUUGGAAGAAGUGGAAGAGCUGGACGGGACCAGCAGGGAAGGGAGCAGCCAGAAAUUCUCUUCAUUAGCCCAGUCAAAAAUGGCAGAGUCCAGCAGCAGUUCACCCUCUGCAGCGAGAGUGGGGCCCUCGAUCUCCACCAGUACUCCCACGGUGACACACGGUGUUGCCGGCUCACGCACCUGGUCAGAUGUCUCUUGAGGCUCAGGCUCUGGGGGCGAUGAUCAGCUCGUAGCUGGUUUACGCGGUGGCUCUCGUGUAGCGGCAGGCUCAGGUUCUCUGUCUGCGGUGGGCUCAGGCUCAGUGCAGCAGGAUGGCAGUUUGCUAGUCUCUGGUUCGGGAGUGGGGCUGGCGAUAUAAUAAAUAAAAAAUAAAAUGAAAGAAAGAUGCCGGAGAGUACACACAGGAACAUAAACAAACAAUACCAGACAAUGAACCAAUGCAAACACAGGGUUUAAAUACAUUGGGAAACACAAUCAGGCAGAACAGAAACAGGUGUGGGGCAAUUAACAACCAAGGGAAUAAACGAGGUAGGAGAACAGAACACUGAAAACUAAACCAAAACAGUGAGUACAUGUGACACCAAUAGACAUGUGGAUCUCACUUGUCAGCCCUUCAGCCCAAAGUUAAUGAAACGAUUAAAAUGAAAUGAAGACCUUGCGUUUUGCGUGGAUGAUUCAUAGUUCUUAAUACAUGCUUGUUCAUUGAAGUGGAGAAGCGGAAGAGACACUUUAUUUUCAUUGUUUGAUGCUGUGAAUAUGCAAUGAGACUGCCGUGGGAGAAAAAUUAUGAAAGGCUGUCUGUAUUUUUGAUGCACUGACAAUGUUUUCAUUGAAUCUUGUGCUUCAAAAGUUGUGCACAUAGAAUUGUCUAUGUAUUCCGAUGUUGUUAGUAUUCAAGAGAGAUGCCGGUGUCACUGAGCCAAUUCACAUCUGCUGUCAGCUCAGAUAUCAGCAAAAUAUUCAAAACGCAUCUAAAAUUCACAAUACAAUAAUCUCAUUCCGGCGAAAACCUCCAGCGUGGAAAAUUUCAGGAGAGUCGUAAGGUGACCUACCUGAUCUCAACAAGCAAAGACAGUGCAAUUUCAGUAACAACAGGACAGAGAAGCGGAAAUAACUCUGGGGAGGUUAUCUGACAGACCUCCUGCUGCGAUGCCGCCAUGUGCAAUGCCUCCUGAGACGUUUGGGAAAUCAGAGAAAAAGAGAGUUUCCAUCACAAUUCCUCAGAGAGACGUGUUCCUCUGACACGUCCAAUUAGCUGUCAUGGUGUCAGUCAAGUGUCAGUCCACCAAGAAAUGUUGCCUCUAAAAACAUCAUAAUAAAGGCAGAAUAACCUGACCCAGUUUUUCGCUCGACGCGCUGAUCGAGCCCUUUCACAUCAACCUAUCUGUUACAUGAAAGAGAGGACGUGUCACAGCCAGACAAGAGCAGAGAUUGAGAAAAAACACUUGGUUUAGAGGAAAUCCAGAGUAACAUCAUUGAUCGAGCGUGGCUGGGUGUCAGAAGCGUUUUGUAUCUGGCAGAGUGGAUAACACUGAACCGUUCAUCAGCGCUGCAGCGGCGGAGACAGUCAACCCUGUUCUCUGACCUCCUGCUACUGCUUGUUGUGACAUUUGCUGGCUAAAUCAGGAGAACCUAUAUAAAGUGACCUGGUUUAUCAGCAGCAGUCUGUGGAGAUCUUUGAGAAGUGACGCUGUGCUAUGUCCUGUCAGGCAGUUUUGGAGAGGCGUCAGGACUCAAGCUGAAGACGCCACCUGCUCAGUCUCCAUGGCCUGCGCUCUCCUUCUCUCUCCUCUAUUAGACUGAACCGUCCCCUGCUCCAGUUUACAUCAGAGCACAGCAGUGAAGGACUGCAGUCACACCAGCUGUCCAAGUGGACACGAGAAGGAUGAGACAGCUGACACACACACACACACACACACACACACUGAUGCUCAGGGUUAAAGAUGGAAACAAUUUCUGUGUCUCCCAUUAAAAAGAUUCUAGUGGGAUUUAUUAAUUGAAAAUAAAAUGUAAACGUGUGCAAAACUACUCGAUUCAUUUCUCAAAGACUGAACCUGCUAAUUUAAUUGAAACAAGCCAGCAUUCACAGCACGCGAAUUAAAGCAAGCGCGACUGGGAAAUGUUAAAUAGCUUUUAGAGCGCCGGGGAGAACAGAGAUUUAUAUUGGCCAGUAAUAGGCUUCACUGGCUACAUACACACUGCAGAUAAAUAAGAGAGUCACUUCCCUUCUGAAUGUUUAAAGGAAUAUUUUGACAACAUUUGGGUCUCAUAAGGACAACGUUUGUCAUUUCGGGAAAGUACAACCAACAAUCACAAAAAUGAUCUACUGAAAGUGGAGGUUCAGGAAGAGACUACAUUUUAUUUAAAGUACACAUUUUGAAAUGUCACAGCCAUGAGGCAUGAUGCUACUUGCUUGUUAUCAUGAUAUGUUUCUCGAGGGAACAACAAUCUCAUUAUGGACUGGUCACAAUGGUCGAUUAGUUGCCCAACAACUGAGUAGUCAGUGAAAGAUUUACCAGUUCAUCCUUAUUUUUUUUCUUUUAGUAAAAAAGUACUUUAAAGGACUGCCUUUGCACCCUAAC